UUUCUCUAAUGAUUCUUCUAUGAAGCUUUGCACACAGCGACUCAAAAUAACUUGUGGAGGUUCACUGUCAAAAAGUGAGCGAUGUCACUGAAAUGCUAGGAAUCCAUCUGGAAUGCCAGCAGCCUUGGUUCUGAGUGUCAGAAUUGGGGUUCACAGAUUAAGUGGUGACAGUCAAGGUGGUUCACCAGUGGGGUGAACAAAUAUACCUGAUUAAGAUAUAAUCGGUCAAAUGUUGCAAGACGUGUCUUGAGCCACGUUCCGUAGGUGAACCUGCGGAAGGAUCAUUACCUAGUGGGGGUCUCUCAGGCCCGACCUCCCACCCUGUGUUUUUGUGACUUUGUUGCUUUGGCGGGCCCGCCUCGAUGAGAGGCCGCCGGAAGCUCACCGUUUUGAGCCCGUGCCCGUCAGUAGCCCCCUUAAAUUCUUAAUAAACCUGUCGUCUGAGUUAACGGAUAUAAUGAAAAAAAACUUUCAACAACGGAUCUCUUGGUUCUG
This 495-nucleotide unclassified non-coding RNA is filed under the name plant metagenome. RNAcentral's name for it is "partial contains small subunit ribosomal RNA, internal transcribed spacer 1, and 5.8S ribosomal RNA". The record is from RNAcentral.